Molecule: ribosomal RNA, 91 nt
Filed under: Pseudomonas aeruginosa
Lineage: Bacteria; Pseudomonadati; Pseudomonadota; Gammaproteobacteria; Pseudomonadales; Pseudomonadaceae
Also listed under: 1 other name
Source: RNAcentral
CUUGACGAUCAUAGAGCGUUGGAACCACCUGAUCCCUUCCCGAACUCAGAAGUGAAACGACGCAUCGCCGAUGGUAGUGUGGGGUCUCCCC